GUUGCUGUGUAGCUGCUGGUGCCUGCAGGCAGUCCUCGGUUGCCCGGGAAACACAGAUGGUGGAUGAAGGGCGCGCAUACAAAGGACCGUAAAACCUGUAGCGGCAGCUGGAGACCGAGCCCGCUGAUUAAUUCAGCUGUGUGCUGCUCCAGCUUAGUCAAAGGCGCCUCUGUUCUCUUUUAAUACCUACUUCAUUUUCUCUUUGUCCUGCGCAGCUUUCGGCUCCACUUGAGCCUGUUUUCCCUGCACCGGUCUCCCGUCAGUGCGCAGCUGUUGUCGGCACUCCCACAUCUGCUUGUCUCGGCUCGGCAGCCAUGUAGACCAAGCUCCGCUGCGGAGCGUGCACGUCCAGGGGGGGCGACGACCAGCACUUUUACUGCGGGCUAAUCACUGCUCACACACGGCGUGGAACCUGUUUACAGCUUCGGCAGCUUGUCCCGAGAAUGGAAGAAGGUAAAAGAAGGAAAAAGAGGAAGAAGAAGUGAUCUUUUCGCGCCGUUUGAUGCUCGGCAGGUGCAUGUGGAACCUGGAAAUAUCUGGUAACCUCGGGUCGGCGUUUCCGGAUUCAUCUACGGCGCUGCGGACAUGUCGCCGGUCGGGACGCUGGGAGGAUCCAGAUGGGAAGCAGCAGCAGGACAGGUUAUGUGUACAGGCUGUUUAUUAUCUUUAUUCAAAAAAUGGAGCAUAGUUUUUAACGGCACACAAUAUCAGAUGGAGAAUUGAACAGCUUUACUGAGUCAGUUAGUUCACGUAAACUGACCCAACUAGACCCCCCAUUUGAUAGGAUUUCGUCCCCCGGCCUCCCCCAUCUGAUAGAAUUUGUGCUUUGAAAUGUAUUAUUACAGAAAGAUGUAUGAAACCCAUGACCCACAGAAUAGAGCUGUAACGAUAAGUCGACAAAUUGAUUAGUCGAGCAAUAGAAAAACAAACGACCAACUAUUUAGAUAAUCGAUUAAUCGUUAGUCAUUUUUCAUGCAAACAUGGCACAUAUGGACAUUCCCUGCUGUUUUCUGUUUGAUAUCACAUUAAACUGAAUAUCUUUGGGUUUUGGACUGACAAAACAAGACAUUUAAAGAGACAUCAGCCUGGACUUUGAGAAACUGGGAUAGACACUUUCCACUAUUUUCUUACAUUUUAUAGUUAUAUUAAUUGAGAAAAUAAGCCGCCAGCUUAAUCGACAAUGAAAAUAAUUGUUAAUUGCAGCGCUACAACACAGUCAACAUUGUGUUACUUAUGGAUGGAUUUACAGUUAGAAUAAAUAAUGCCCCUCUUGCUGUGGACCCCCUGGAACCCCCUCAAGGAACCACCGAGUUAGACGUCUGAUCCCGGGACUUAUAUCUGUUAGCAGUGGCUGUAUAUCAUUGUUUGAAAUGGGUCUUAAAAUAAAGCAGCACUAAGGAGAAACAAGAAAACCCAAGAAGCAGUUAUCCCUGGGGGACCUUGGGAGGGACGGUUGGGUUGCGUCCCACUUUUUUUUCCUGCUUCUUUGUGUUGUGUGUUCCUCUCCAGCUCCACUGAUGAGGAAGCAGACCGGGGGGCACGCGCCGGCUGGACCUCCGGAGCGCCAUCACGACUCCAUCGCGCCCUGCUGCGUCGCCUCACACACUGUCCUUGCUCCUGCAGCGAUGGAUGCCCGGCGCCAUCACUGCUGUCCUGCGCCUUCGGAAGGAGACGAUCCGCGUCCAAGUGUUUCCCCGCCGAGAGACGACUUCUGCUGCUGCCGUGCGUCCGUGAAAAUGGCCUAGAAGAGUUCAGAACGCCACCGCUGCUUUGUAGUCAGUGUCGGCGAGGUCCGAUUUAGCAGGAAGGUAUUUCACGUGUGGUGUUUCGAGUCCAAUAUAAUGUGCUGCAGCGUUCCUUCCUGUUUCUCUCGACUGUGCGUGUUUUCCCGGCCGGCUGUGAGUAACAGACUACUAAUAUAGCUGCAUCCACCCCCACUCUCACGUUUUGUCUCUUGGCUGAUGAAAAACACAGACACUGCAGCUAUCAAACACCUCUCAUGCUUGUUUUCUUCAGCUGCCGUGUGCAGUGACCUGUCGAACACUUUGGCCACUUCUCCCUGCAUAAGACAGCCUUUUACCUGGGUUUGUAGAGGACUUGGGUGCACAUAUUUUGCGGAGGGUUUAGGGGGUCCUCCCUCAAGAAAAUGUUACAAAAACAAUAUGCAGUUUCACAUGAUUUUAGACCAUUAUUGUAACCAUACCUGGGUCUAAAACGUUGGAAAAGCUAGAGCAGAUAAUAAAAUAACAACACUCAAAAAGCCUAAAGACAGAACUUGCUAAAUAUAAAAGUAAUUGAGUUAGUUUUGAUGCUCACAUUGAUUUUACAUUCAUUCGGCUUAGGUGGUGCACAAAACGGCUCGGUGGCUGCGUCCAAGCCUUAUUCUGGUCUGGAAAACCCUGCUAUUUGACAUUUAAAUUCACUAAAAAGUUGUGUUUUAACGUGUGUUAGCGUCUCACUGAAGCCAGCGUGUAUCUUGGCCAGAUCCAGAACUGGAACGCUCUGAUAUCCAAAGCCUGUGAGAUCUGCUUACGUGUGUGAGAACAAGUAGUGACAAUGUGUGAUUCACACAGUAUGUUCUUAGUCGUGAAACUUCUUCAUUUGGGUGUGUGAUACCAACUACCUUUAAUAAGCACUCUGUGUAUUUUUACUGUAGCGUGUGGGUGUCUGGGUGUGUGUGUGUGUGUGUGUGUAUGUGUGUGUCCGCGUGAGUGCACGUGUUUGUGUGCAUGUGCUCUAUUUGUGUGUGUGUGUGUGUGUGUGUGUAUGUCUGAUUAAACACAUUUGUAAAAGGCCUGAAGCUUCUAGCUGCUUUCCAAUGGUUUUCUCAUCGCUGCAUUAGUUUUCAAAUGCCUGAAUAUCUUUCUUUUGGCACACUGGAUGUACCGGGGAUAAAAAAA
This is a long non-coding RNA of Sander lucioperca (pikeperch), 2900 nucleotides long. RefSeq lists it as uncharacterized. The transcript is spliced from 3 exons. NCBI's taxonomy places the organism in Eukaryota, Metazoa, Chordata, Actinopteri, Perciformes, Percidae. The record is from RefSeq and is a predicted model, not a curated record.